RNAcentral lists this ribosomal RNA (459 nucleotides) under uncultured bacterium. RNAcentral's name for it is "partial 16S ribosomal RNA". It matches the Rfam family "Bacterial small subunit ribosomal RNA", at positions 338 to 795 of the family's 1533-position model. The record is from RNAcentral.
CCUACGGGAGGCAGCAGUGAGGAAUAUUGGUCAAUGGGCGCGAGCCUGAACCAGCCAAGCCGCGUGAGGGAAGACGGUUCUAUGGAUUGUAAACCCCUUUUGCCGGGGAGCAAAAGACGCCACGCGUGGCGUUCCGAGAGUACCCGAAGAAAAAGCAUCGGCUAACUCCGUGCCAGCAGCAGCGGUAAUCCGGAGGAUGCGAGCGUUAUCCGGUUUUAUUGGGGUAAAGGGGUGCGCAGGCGGAGCAACAAGUCAGCGGUAAAAUUGAGGGGCUCAACCUCUUCGAGCCGUUGAAACUGGUUUUCUUGAGUGAGCGAGAGGUAUGCGGAAUGCGUAGUGUAGCGGUGAAAUGCAUAGAUAUCACGCAGAACUCCGAUUGCGAAGGCAGCAUACCGGCGCUCAACUGACGCUCAUGCACGAAAGUGUGGGUAUCGAACAGGAUUAGAUACCCUAGUAGUC